CCUACUGGAGGCUGCAGUGGGGAAUAUUGCACAAUGGGGGAAACCCUGAUGCAGCGACGCCGCGUGAGUGAAGAAGUAUUUCGGUAUGUAAAGCUCUAUCAGCAGGGAAGAAAUAGCGACCUUUGGGUCGCCAGACGGUACCUGACUACGAAGCACCGGCUAACUACGUGCCAGCAGCCGCGGUAAUACGUAGGGGGCAAGCGUUAUCCGGAUUUAUUGGGGGUAAAGGGAGCGUAGACGGCAGCGCAAGUCUGAAGUGAAAUGCCGGGGCUUAACCCCGGCACUGCUUUGGAAACUGUGCAGCUAGAGUGCAGGAGAGGUAAGUGGAAUUCCUGGUGUAGCGGUGAAAUGCGUAGAUAUUAGGAGGAACACCAGUGGCGAAGGCGGCUUACUGGACUGUAACUGACGUUGAGGCUCGAAAGCGUGGGGAGCAAACAGGAUUAGAUACCCGGGUAGUC
Molecule: ribosomal RNA, 458 nt
Filed under: uncultured bacterium
Lineage: Bacteria
Description: partial 16S ribosomal RNA
Rfam family: Bacterial small subunit ribosomal RNA
Source: RNAcentral